Molecule: ribosomal RNA, 497 nt
Filed under: uncultured bacterium
Lineage: Bacteria
Description: SSU rRNA
Rfam family: Bacterial small subunit ribosomal RNA
Source: RNAcentral
UUUGACAUGUACGGAACCCUUUAGAGAUAGAGGGGUGCUCGAAAGAGAGCCGUAACACAGGUGCUGCAUGGCUGUCGUCAGCUCGUGUCGUGAGAUGUUGGGUUAAGUCCCGCAACGAGCGCAACCCUUGUCAUUAGUUGCUACAUUCAGUUGGGCACUCUAAUGAGACUGCCGGUGACAAGCCGGAGGAAGGUGGGGAUGACGUCAAGUCCUCAUGGCCCUUAUAGGUGGGGCUACACACGUCAUACAAUGGCUGGUACAAAGGGUUGCCAACCCGCGAGGGGGAGCUAAUCUCACAAAGCCAGUCGUAGUCCGGAUCGUAGUCUGCAACUCGACUACGUGAAGUCGGAAUCGCUAGUAAUCGUGGAUCAGAAUGUCACGGUGAAUACGUUCCCGGGUCUUGUACACACCGCUCGUCACACCAUGGGAGCGGGUUCUGCCAGAAGUAGUUAGCUUAACCGCAAGGAGGGCGAUUACCACGGCAGGGUUCGUGACUG